Molecule: transfer-messenger RNA, 369 nt
Filed under: bacterium
Lineage: Bacteria
Also listed under: 1 other name
Description: DTGQ01 sp023512255 Standard tmRNA
Rfam family: transfer-messenger RNA
About the family: Bacterial tmRNA, also known as 10Sa RNA or SsrA, is named for its dual tRNA and mRNA-like properties. Its role is to liberate the mRNA from a stalled ribosome. To accomplish this part of the tmRNA is used as a reading frame that ends in a translation stop signal.
Source: RNAcentral
GGGGGCGAUCUGGUUUCGACGGGGAUAGUUGAGGCAAGGAUUGCAUGUCGAGGUUCCUGUUCCCUCGUAAAACAAUAGGAAAAAUACAACUGCCAACAACGAAUUGGCUCUGGCUGCCUAACUAGCCGUUAGUGCGGUCACGUCCCCUUGCCCUUUUGCCUUGUGGGGGCAGGGUCGGGCGUCAUAAACACAAGGAUAGCUAGCUCUCCCUGGCUCGGGGAGGGCUGGUGAGAACCUUUGAGCUGGUGAGCCCUUUAAUCCUCGCCUCUCGGAGUGAGGGCUCACGAGAAUAAAAAGAUGAGGCUAAACAUGUAGAUAUCCUUCGCUGAAUAUCUUCGGACGGGGGUUCGAUUCCCCCCGCCUCCACCA